UUCAAAAAUCAGACUGUCUACCGUUUCUUCAGCGAGUAAGAAGAAAACCCUUAUGGUCGAGACUACUAUUAAUGGGAAAAAUAAACUUUGUACAGUUGACACUGGCGCAUCUAUUUCAUUAGUUAGUAAAGACCAGUGGCAACCUCUUAAACUGGAUGAUACCCCAUUAUUUCCAUCCGAUAUUGUUGCAGAAGCCGCUAACAAUUCUCCCAUUGGGAUUUUGGGCAAAACCACCUUGAAUGUGCAAUUUGAUGAAAACAACAAGUCAUCUCAUGACUUUUAUGUGGCUAAUGAAAUGUUGUCUGAAAUUAUUCUGGGUUUAGAUUGGUUAGUAACUAACAAAGUAAAUGUCGAUAUGGCUGAAAUGGUUUUGAAAUUCCCAGAUGGUACCACAAAACCCUUGUGUUUAUUUGAUUCAACCAUAGCAGAUCCCCUGGGCGUUGUUCUAGAUGAGGAUUUGGUUGUUCCGGCGAAACAUGAAGUUUUCAAAACUGCCAGGGUCCGAAAUCCCACUUUAAAUGAAAGCAUCUUAGAGCCUAAUAUGAACUUAUCCGGGAAAGGUGUUCUUGUAGCAAGAGUUAUUGUACAGCCAAAAGAACAGAGGGUACCCAUCCAGAUUAUUAAUCCAGGGACAUCACCUAUUAAGUUGUACAAGGGCAUGACGGUUGGGCACCUUCAGCAAGUUGGUGAUGAGUUAAGAGACCCAACAGUUAUUAAUUCAAAGUGUGGUUCGCCAUCUGCUGAGGAUAAGAUCAAAUUCGAGUUAGAGCAUCUGUCGGGUGAGGAGCGAGAGAGGAUGGAAAAUUUGUUGAAUAAACACCAAGAUAUUUUCGCAAAAAAUUCUAGUGAACUUGGCGUAACCACACUAGCAGAGCAUAAGAUUGAGACAGGCGAUGCCGUACCUGUUAAACAACUGCCUCGAAGACUGCCCAAUUCUCUGAGAACCGUUGUUGAAGACCAAGUAAAAGAAAUGUUGGAAAACAACAUAAUUAAGCCGAGUAAUUCACCAUGGUCAAGUCCUAUAGUCUUAGUUCGAAAGAAAGAUGGGACAUGGCGUUUUUGUAUUGAUUUCAGGAAACUAAAUGAUGUCACAGUGAAAGAUGCUUUCCCACUUCCCCAGGUUGCUGAUUUGAUGGAUAACUUAGCUGGUC
Paramuricea clavata is the source of this 1151-nucleotide non-coding RNA. NCBI's taxonomy places the organism in Eukaryota, Metazoa, Cnidaria, Anthozoa, Malacalcyonacea, Plexauridae. The record is from the annotation of a GenBank genome assembly.